This is a long non-coding RNA of Oncorhynchus tshawytscha (Chinook salmon), 2383 nucleotides long. RefSeq lists it as uncharacterized. Lineage: Eukaryota; Metazoa; Chordata; Actinopteri; Salmoniformes; Salmonidae. The record is from RefSeq and is a predicted model, not a curated record. The transcript has 5 exons.
CGUCACCAAAUACCUGAUUAAAACAGUAGUCUCAAUAGCACCUUCUAGGGUAGCGCCACGGUAUAGCCGGAGGACAGCUAUUUUCUUUCCUUUUCUGCGUACAUUGAAUUCAAUACAAUACCUAUGUGGCUCGUGCUCCUCAACCCCCCUUCAUAGACCUACAGUACAUGGUAAUUAUGAUGAAUUCCGGAGGACGUCCUUCAACCAAUCAAAGCUAUUGCUGAAUGAACUGACAUGUCCAUCCAAGCAAAGGAUCAGAAAAUGUACCUAGUACUACACAUGUGUGAUUUAGAAGCUUGCCGAGUUGGUGACAUUGCAGGAUAUAUUGAGAUAUUGAAUAGUUAUUUAGCAUUUUUACAAUAUUAUUCCAUUCAAAUUAGUUUCUUCAAUCUAUAGAAGACGGAGCAGGCAGAUUAUAUAUUGUUUUCUUGGUUUUAGAACUACAUUUUUUUGUAGCAUUAGGGCCAUUUAUUUAAAUUUGCCCUGCUAACUUUACUACUAGAGUGCAGUUUUUUCCACCAGAACGGCUAGAUAACGACAAUGUAGUGAUUUUUUUGUUGAAGAAGCCCUUUCAUUGCCCACAUCAGAUUCUGCAUAUUCAACCUGUGCAACACAACUAGAAGGUUGGAGAAACAGGGGUACUGCAUUUUUGUGCAUGUAAGAGUUGGCAUUGGUACAGGCCACCAGCCAUUGACACCAGGAAGGGUGGGGCCAUGGACUGCUUACGCCAAAUCCUGACUCUCGGCGUAAUGCCUCAAGAACCCAGGAUUCGUCGAGCCAGGCAAUGUUUUUUCACUCCUCAAUUGUACAAUGUUGGUGAUCGUGUUCCCACUGGAGCCACUUCUUGUUUUUAGCUGAUAAGAGUGGAACCUGGUGUUGUCGUCUGCUGCAAUAGCCCAUCUAUUAUGAUGAGUUGUGCAUUCCGAGAUGUCGUUCUGCACACCACUGUUGUACAGCGCCAUUAUUUGCCGGUUUGUGGUCCGCCUAUUAGCUUGCACAAUUCUUGCCAUUCUCCUUUGACCUCUGUCAUCUACAAGCGGUUUUUGCCCACAGGACUGUCGCUGACUGGAUGUUUUUGUUUGUCGCACCAUUCUCGGGGAAACCCUAGACACUGUCGUGCAUGAAAACCCAAAGAGGCCAGACGUUUCUGAGAUACGACGCGCCUGGCGCCAACAAUCAUACCACACGCAGUGGCUUAAGUCAUUCAUUUUCCCCAUUCUAACGUUCAAUCAAACAGUAACUGAAUUCCUCGAUGCCUGCUUUAUAUAGCAAGCCACGGUCACGUGACUCACUGUCGGAGCGAACCAUUAUUAUGAACGGAGUGGUGUACCUAAUAAACUGGCCACAGUGUACAAUGAUAAACAAUAUGGCUGUAUUUAAAUGUGUAAAUAGUGUUAUUAACUUAAUAUAAUGGAUAUAAUAUUAUUUUAUGUGUACUGUAGCUCUGUUAACUGUAUUUAGUAAUAAUAUGAUAUAAUGUUGUAUUAGGAGUUGUGUUGACUGUGACUCUUCCUUCGGAGGCCAGAACAGACAGUAAAAUGUGUCCAGUUCUCACUAGGUUAUGUUUAUAGAGGAAGAUGUCAAAUUCUACCUAGCAGAGCUGGCUCUGGCCCUCGACCACCUGCACCAUCUUGGCAUAGUUUACAGAGACCUCAAACCAGAGAUGUAUUUUGUGGGACGAAGCAAGGGGACAAGAUGAGGGAAAGUUCCGCUAACAAGGGCAACUACUAGGAGCUUGCAGAGGCACUGUGUCACGGCCGUCGUUCAAGGAAGACCAAGGUGCAGCGUGUCAAAUCCUGUCCUCAUUGGAAGAGUUGAGUUCUUCUCCAACACCAUCCAUGAUGAUCUUGUCCUGCACUGAAUCCUCUGAACAUAUCAACCCAGGUCCUGCACUGAAGUCAAGCCUCUGAACACCUUAACUCAUGCUUCAUACCCUCAUUCAAAUCACUGCUGUGAUCCCUUCCCAACAUGGCAUCCACAGAUGAUGCAAACUCAAUUGCGCUUCACACUGCUACAACAGGAGUUCCCUGACCCUGGUGUCCCGUAUACAACAGGAGUUCCCUGACCCUGGUGUCCCGUAUACAACAGGAGUUCCCUGACCCUGAUGUCCCGUAUACAACAGGAGUUACCUGACCCUGGUGUCCCGUAUACAACAGGAGUUCCCUGACCCUGGUGCAGAAUACACAAGAGACAUCAAUAUCAAGCCUGUCUGUCAGUCUGGACUCCAUCUUGCAAGUCUCCAAGUGCUGGCUCCGGAGAUGCAUUUGUGAACACAAACAGUACACAGUCACUGUUCUAUUACCAAUGGCAGUUAGGAUAGGUGAUAUCUGACAAAGAAACAUAUACAAUGUUGAAGUUUGAACAGGUCAGACUAAACCUACCU